Lutra lutra (Eurasian river otter) is the source of this 1666-nucleotide long non-coding RNA. RefSeq lists it as uncharacterized. The record is from RefSeq and is a predicted model, not a curated record. NCBI's taxonomy places the organism in Eukaryota, Metazoa, Chordata, Mammalia, Carnivora, Mustelidae. The transcript is spliced from 4 exons.
CUUUAACCCACCCCGGGGUGAAAUGUGGCACAAGAAAUAAUGCCACAAUGGAUUAUUUUAUUCAGAGGUUAUGAGGCAGGUGCCACUGUUGAGUCCAUUUUAUAGAUGAGGAACCCCAGUAGAGGGAGGUUAAGAAAGUCAUCCCAGGUGACAAUGGCAAAGAUCUGCUGCCAGAGCCACCUCCCUAAAUGAGUAUCAGUCUCUCGCCUAUCGCCUGUCGGAUUAAUAACUGCUCCUCUACUGAAGAGAGCAGGGAAGAAGGGGCAGGAGCUCCUCUGAGCAGCCAUGGCACUCUGGGGGUUAGUGCGGACGUCUCAUCUUUUGUGGACAACAUGGAAACUCCAUUCCAGCUUCCUACCUGUGGCUAGGCAGCCUUGGGAGAAGAUGAGCUAUAGAAUGUUCCACAGCAGAAAGAGAGAAAUCAUCAGAAGAAACAACCAAGAGCAUCAACAAAUCAAUUCUAUUACCUGUCUCUUACCAGCCUGUAGUACAACCCAAAAGCCUACUGUGCGACUCAAGACAGGAAGUGGCCUGGGCUUCAGAAGGCAUUUACAGAGAAGAAAUGUUCCCAGGAAACAUAACAUCCAAGCAGCAUGCCCUGUGAUCCCAGAACAACACAAUAGUGAUUUGUCUGCCACAUUGCCUUCAGGGAAUCAGGAGGAGGAAAUGACCACUCUCUUAUUUUGAAGAAAGUUCAGCACAAGGGCAAAAUCAUCGAAAAAACUUGACCAGAUAGGCUCAAGGAAGCAGAUGUGGACAUGAGGCAGAUUUGAUUGGGAGGGACAUCAGAAAAAUAUGGAACAUGUCUGAACAGUAGGCCCAAAUGGGGCCCAGAACAGCCACUGUGGUCAGCCUGGAGCCAGCAUGAGGGCCCCAAGUACUUGAAGCAGGCGGGGAGGAGAUGGUGAGAAUGAGGGAGGAAUAUACUUCAUUUUUUUAUUGAAAUAUAUCUGAUAAAAAACAUUUAUAAAUUUAGGGUGUACAAUGUGUUGAUUUGCUACAUUUGUCUAAUAUGACUGUCAUUGUAACAAUAAUUAGCACCUCUCUCAUGUCACAUAAUUACUUCUUUUUUGUAGUGGGAAUAGUUAAUACCUAGUGUCUUAGUGAGUUCGAUGAUUCUAACAUAUGACUAUUUAUAUUCACUAUACUCUGCGCUAGAUCUCCAGGAUGUAUUUGUCUAAUAGUUUCCGGUCUGUACCCUUAAACAACUUCUCAUCUAUUUGCUACCUCCCAGACCUGGAUAACCACUAUUUUCUUCUUUGUGUUUACAAGUUUGGCUUUUUCAGAUGCCACAUAUAAGUGAUACUGUGCAGUAUUUGUCUUUCUCUGACUUACAUUUGUUAGAAUGGCUAUAAUUGAGAAGAUAAGAGAUAACAAGUGUUGGCAAUGAUAUGGAGAAAAGGGAAUUUGUGCACUGUUGUGGGAAUGUAAAUUGCUUCAGGUACCAUGGGAAACAAAAUGGAGGGUCCUCAAAAAACUAAAAAUAGUGCUGUGAUCCAGCAGUCCUUCUGCGUAUAUAUCCAAAGGAAAUAAAAACGGAAUAUCAAAGAGAUGUCUGUACCCCCGUGUUCACUGCUGCAUUAUUCAUAGUAGCCAAGACAUGGAAGAAACCUAAGGGUUCAUCAACAUGAAUAGAUAAAGAUGUGGCAUAUGUGUGCAAUGGAAU